UACGUAGGGGGCAAGCGUUGUCCGGAAUCAUUGGGCGUAAAGCGCGUGUAGGCGGCCAGAAAAGUCCGCUGUGAAAACUCGAGGCUCAACUUCGAGCUGUCGGUGGAAACUUUCUGGCUAGAGUCCGGAAGAGGAGAAUGGAAUUCCUGGUGUAGCGGUGAAAUGCGCAGAUAUCAGGAAGAACACCCGUGGCGAAGGCGGGUCUCUGGACAGUUCCUGACGCUGAGGCACGAAGGUCAGGGGAGCAAACGGG
RNAcentral lists this ribosomal RNA (253 nucleotides) under uncultured bacterium. Its description in RNAcentral is "partial 16S ribosomal RNA". It matches the Rfam family "Bacterial small subunit ribosomal RNA", at positions 524 to 776 of the family's 1533-position model. The record is from RNAcentral.